RNAcentral lists this ribosomal RNA (384 nucleotides) under Triticum aestivum (bread wheat). RNAcentral's name for it is "partial small subunit ribosomal RNA". Lineage: Eukaryota; Viridiplantae; Streptophyta; Magnoliopsida; Poales; Poaceae. The record is from RNAcentral.
GCUCUUAACCGUGAUGGGCUAUCUCCAUUGCAGAAAUGCACAUCAGCUAUUCGCCAAUUGGCAUAUGGUACUCCCGCUGACGCUCUCGAUGAGUACCUGAAGAUUGCCGAGUGCACAUCAAUUAAGUGCUUAAAGCUGUUCGUCAAAGGCGUGAUUCAUAUAUUUGGUGAUGAGUAUAUGCGAAAACCCAAUGUCAACGAUGUGCAACGCUUACUUGAUAUUGGAGAGAGUCGUGGGUUUCCUGGCAUGUUAGGAAGCCUCGACUGUAUGCACUGGCGUUGGGACAAAUGUCCCAUGGAGUGGAAGGGACAAUUCACCAGUGGGUAUAAAGGCGUCCCUACUCUUAUUCUAGAGGCGGUUGCUUCUCAGGAUCUUUGGAUAUGA